GCCGACGUGGCGGAAUCGGCAGACGCGCCAGACUCAAAAUCUGGUACUCGCGAGAGUGUGUGGGUUCGACCCCCUCCGUCGGCACCA
This 87-nucleotide transfer RNA is filed under the name Verrucomicrobiota bacterium. RNAcentral describes it as "Verrucomicrobia bacterium (freshwater metagenome) tRNA-Leu". It matches the Rfam family "tRNA". Rfam says of the family: Transfer RNA (tRNA) molecules are approximately 80 nucleotides in length. Their secondary structure includes four short double-helical elements and three loops (D, anti-codon, and T loops). The record is from RNAcentral. Lineage: Bacteria; Pseudomonadati; Verrucomicrobiota.